GUUUCCGGUAUUACAUCCACUUAUCCAGCUGGUUUCAGCGACGCCCUCCAAGAAGCAAGCGAGAAGAGCCACAGCAGUACUCAAUGAUGUUCUUGGACCUGGAGGCAUACAGAACAGAGGGUACUUUCUUUAUCGGCCGAGAAAUGGAAGAAGAUCCGCUGAAUACGUGUAAAGAUACAGAACACAGUUACCGCCAGUUGGACCUGCCGCUGCACAGAACCGACCCCGAGCGCCUGAGGGUGUGAUG
Engraulis encrasicolus (European anchovy) is the source of this 247-nucleotide long non-coding RNA. RefSeq lists it as uncharacterized. Lineage: Eukaryota; Metazoa; Chordata; Actinopteri; Clupeiformes; Engraulidae. The record is from RefSeq and is a predicted model, not a curated record. The transcript is spliced from 4 exons.